This 497-nucleotide ribosomal RNA is filed under the name uncultured bacterium. RNAcentral's name for it is "partial 16S ribosomal RNA". It matches the Rfam family "Bacterial small subunit ribosomal RNA", at positions 28 to 507 of the family's 1533-position model. The record is from RNAcentral.
GAUGAACGCUGGCGGCGUGCCUAAUACAUGCAAGUCGAGCGAACAGAUGGUAAGAUCUUCCUCUUACGGUUGGCGAGGGCCGGAGGGGUAAGCGUUGAAUACCCACCUAUUAGUUCGGGGGGAAUUACGGAAAGCGGCUUACAUUACGGCCGAAUACUUCCAACGGGUGGAUCCAUAGUGUAAGCCGGCUUUGCUGGAUCUUAUUAGCGGAUUCCGGGUCGGAUUAGCUGGUUGGUAAGGUAACGGCCUACCAAGGAAACGAUGCGUAGCCGACCUGAGAGGGUGAUCAGCCACACUGGAACUGAGACACGGUCCAGACUCCUACGGGAGGCAGCAGUAGGGAAUCUUCGGCAAUGGGCGAAAGCUUGACGGAGCAAUGCCGCGUGAGUGAAGAAGGUCUUCGGAUCGUAAAACCCUUUUAUUAGGGAAGAAAAACUGUGGAAGAAUCUCUGGACGUUUUGACGGUACCCAAUCAGAAAGCCACGGCUAACUACGUG